RNAcentral lists this ribosomal RNA (465 nucleotides) under uncultured bacterium. RNAcentral's name for it is "bacterial SSU rRNA". It matches the Rfam family "Bacterial small subunit ribosomal RNA", at positions 330 to 794 of the family's 1533-position model. The record is from RNAcentral.
ACCAGACUCCUACGGGAGGCAGCAGUGGGGAAUAUUGCACAAUGGGGGAAACCCUGAUGCAGCGACGCCGCGUGAGUGAAGAAGUAUUUCGGUAUGUAAAGCUCUAUCAGCAGGGAAGAAAUAGCGACCUUUGGGUCGCCAGACGGUACCUGACUAAGAAGCCCCGGCUAACUACGUGCCAGCAGCCGCGGUAAUACGUAGGGGGCAAGCGUUAUCCGGAUUUACUGGGUGUGAAGGGAGCGUAGACGGCAGCACAAGUCUGAAGUGAAAUGCCGGGGCUUAACCCCGGAACUGCUUUGGAAACUGUUAAGCUAGAGUGCUGGAGAGGUAAGCGGAAUUCCUAGUGUAGCGGUGAAAUGCGUAGAUAUUAGGAAGAACACCAGUGGCGAAGGCGGCUUACUGGACAGUAACUGACGUUGAGGCUCGAAAGCGUGGGGAGCAAACAGGAUUAGAUACCCGUGUACA